Molecule: ribosomal RNA, 497 nt
Filed under: uncultured bacterium
Lineage: Bacteria
Description: partial 16S ribosomal RNA
Rfam family: Bacterial small subunit ribosomal RNA
Source: RNAcentral
GAUGAACGCUGGCGGCGUGCCUAAUACAUGCAAGUCGAGCGAACAGAUGAGGAGCUUGCUCCUCUGACGUUAGCGGCGGACGGGUGAGUAACACGUGGAUAACCUACCUAUAAGACUGGGAUAACUUCGGGAAACCGGAGCUAAUACCGGAUAAUAUAUUGAACCGCAUGGUUCAAUAGUGAAAGACGGUUUUGCUGUCACUUAUAGAUGGAUCCGCGCCGCAUUAGCUAGUUGGUAAGGUAACGGCUUACCAAGGCAAGGAGGCGUAGCCGACCUGAGAGGGUGGUCGGCCACAUGGGAACUGGGACACGGUCCAGACUCCUACGGGAGGCAGCAGUAGGGAAUCUUCCGCAGUGGGCGAAAGCCUGACGGAGCAACGCCGCGUGAGUGAUGAAGGUCUUCGGAUCGUAAAACUCUGUUAUUAGGGAAGAACAAAUGUGUAAGUAACUAUGCACGUCUUGACGGUACCUAAUCAGAAAGCCACGGCUAACUACGUG